This 551-nucleotide ribosomal RNA is filed under the name Craterostigmus tasmanianus. RNAcentral's name for it is "SSU rRNA". It matches the Rfam family "Eukaryotic small subunit ribosomal RNA", at positions 625 to 1171 of the family's 1831-position model. The record is from RNAcentral. Lineage: Eukaryota; Metazoa; Arthropoda; Chilopoda; Craterostigmomorpha; Craterostigmidae.
CUUUCUCGUAGUUGGAUCUCGGUGCCGGUCUGGCGGUCCGCCUCGCCGCGGUCUCACUGCCAGUCCCGGAGCCAUCCCGCCGGCCUUCCCUCGGUGCUCUUUACCGAGUGUCUUGGGUGACCGGAACGUUUACUUUGAACAAAUUAUAGUGCUCCAAGCAGGCGCGUCCCGCCCGCAUAGCCCAGCAUGGAAUAAUGGAAUAGGACCUCGGUUCUAUUUUGUUGGUUUUCGGAACCCGAGGUAAUGAUUAAUAGGGACAGACGGGGGCAUUCGUAUUGCGACGCUAGAGGUGAAAUUCUUGGACCGUCGCAAGACGAACUACUGCGAAAGCAUUUGCCAAGAAUGUUUUCAUUAAUCCAGAACGAAAGUUAGAGGUUCGAAGGCGAUCAGAUACCGCCCUAGUUCUAACCAUAAACGAUGCCGACCAGCGAUCCGCCGGAGUUCCUCCGAUGACUCGGCGGGCAGCUUCCGGGAAACCAAAGUGUUUGGGUUCCGGGGGAAGUAUGGUUGCUAAGCUGAAACUUAAAGGAAUUUGACGGAAAGGCACCACC